GCCGUAGGUGAACCUGCGGCAGGAUCAUUA
Molecule: ribosomal RNA, 30 nt
Filed under: Agroathelia rolfsii
Lineage: Eukaryota; Fungi; Basidiomycota; Agaricomycetes; Amylocorticiales; Amylocorticiaceae
Description: Athelia rolfsii partial 18S ribosomal RNA
Source: RNAcentral